RNAcentral lists this long non-coding RNA (11784 nucleotides) under Sorghum bicolor (sorghum). RNAcentral's name for it is "long non-coding RNA (SBIC_LNC011883)". Lineage: Eukaryota; Viridiplantae; Streptophyta; Magnoliopsida; Poales; Poaceae. The record is from RNAcentral.
GCUUGGGGGAGAGCAACCCCAUUUAUCCAGCUAAGUGUUCUACUCACGUUUAUACUUUACUCAAAUAAUAAAAAGAUGCAUAAUCAUAAAAACUCAAAUAAAGAUUUUGUGCUUAUAUAUAUAUCUUUGCUUAGUUUUCUAAAUAAAUAAAUAAAUAAAGUUUGCUAUGAACCCUCAUAAUAAGCUCUCAUAUGGAAAUGAUGAAUAAUUGCUCUGCCAUGACUAGUUCUCAAAAUUGAAAUCUCUCUCAAGUUUAGGCAUGACUGGUAUUAAUUAAGAUUUGCUCUAAACCUGAACUUGUGGGGAGAGUACUUGAUCUAAAGUCUAAGUCGUUGACGGAUACGAUAUUGGAAGGUUGAGCUGCUGUUUAUCUAUUCCUAGAGAUGCUAGAAUUCUGGAGAAUUUUAUCUUUAAAAAUCUUUAAAAUGUUACAUGAUGAGUUCCUGUACGAUGAGAGUUUAAAUUCCUACCACAGCCAUAUAUACAUACUUAUUAGACUAUGAACCAUUCAUUUACUUUUUACUGCUUAUGAGCACUGAGUGUGGUCAAGCUGUGUAGACCCUUAGGAGCUUGUCAUGUGGUUAAAAUCAAGAUUCACUUGCACGUUCACUCAUACAUGCUGCUUCUACUAUGGAAGUACGCAUCCACAUAUAUCCACCCAUUUCCAUACCCAGAUUCACCCAAAAAUAUUCUACUCCUAAUCUGGGAGAGAAUAGCCAAAAACAUUCUCCUAUUUCUGUUUUACCCUGUGAAAUAAAUGCUCAAGCUAUCUUGGUUACUACCACUUGCUAUAUUAUUUCAAGAGAUGAGUGCUCUAAAAAAAGUGAAUACGAGGAAAUAAAAAGGGGCAAGUGCCCGGAACCUCGAAAGAAAAGAAAAAGUGAGACGAGAAGUAAAAAUGGACAAGUGUCUGACAGUAAAAUUAGGGGUACAAGAUACCCACCUGAGAGAAAAGAAAAAAAAAGAAAAUAUAGAGCAUCUCAUUCUCCUCAAAAAGUUUCAAAAGAGCAAGAAAGGUAUGUAUCCCCUCAAAAGAGCACAAGUAGAAUUAGACUUUCACCAUUGUUAUCACCAUCAUCACCAUACACCAUUCAUGCGCCACACAUGCACAUCUUGAUUUGACUUAUUGACUUGUUCUUCUGGAUCCAUGGUUUGACUAUGCAAUAAAUGUCUUGUAAGUAUGUAUUAGCUAUCUCCCACCUAUGAGCUCCAGAUAUCAAACCUUAUUAGAGUAGGGUGAGAGAGAAGGCAAUAUCAUUAUGCCUCAUACCACAAAUACCACAUACUUUGAGAGAAGGCAUACACCAUUACUGCCUUGGUAAGGAUCUAGAAAUACCACAAAAGAGAGACUAGAGAGAGUCAUAUAAGGAAUCUCUGAGUUUUAUUUGAAAAUCUGCAAAAACUCCAGAGCUAUAGUUGAUCAAGAACAUGAGACGUGGCGCUUGAUUAGACCGUUCUAUCUUUUAACUGCUCAGGACACAAGUGACGGUUGCAAGCCCCAUGGUGGAAGGUAAUACGAGUAAGUUUAAAUCUUAACAAUAAACCCUAACCGAGAGAUGAGAUCUUGUUUGAACGCAUGUGUAUUUUUAAGGCAUGAAACCACUGCAGAAACUCUUGAGUUCAACUUUGCUCAGGGAUGAGCAAAGGUUAAGCUUGGGGGAGCUUGUUGACGGUCCUUAAUGCUCACAUUUAAUCAUCAACUAAUCAUAGAAAAGGAUCUAAAUGCAACCAACACCUAGACUUAGGGUUUUAUCUGACAGCAUUCCACGAGUUUUGGUGUUUGUCUAUUUCUGCAGGGGGUUAUCAGGAAAUACGGAGGAAAGGCCCACACGUCGGGUUUACAUAGAGAUAUUAACGUGCUGCGCAAUUUUCUAUUAUCUAGAAGACUCCAGAAGCCACGGGAACGAACGGGAAGCCGAGAGGACUCAGGGAUGGGGUGCCUGCCCUCCUUUCCUGGGCGCCCGCCCUCACCCAGAGUCCAAUCAAGACUCUCUUUCGGGAUAUUGCUCCACCGACCUAAAGGAUCAACAAUAACCGUUCAAUCAAUGUUGGUUUGAUCCGACGGCCCAGAUUCAUCUGAAAAGACUAUAUAAGUCAGGGGUGUGAAUGAAUUCCUUGUUCUUUAUCUGCUAGAAAACUUCUUUCUCCAUGUGGGUCUUCAGUCCAAGGUCUCCUGUCUUGAGGAGAACCUUAACUCGCGGAUCAGACAAAGAUGACGGAGCUUGGGGGGGCAUCGGAUCGACGCUCAUCUCUGACUAGUGUGAGGAUUGUCGGGAUGAACUCCUUGUACCUAUUCAAUUGAGGGUCUUGCCCACGUUCUUUACCUUAUUGAACAUCCUGUAGACAAAAGUUGACACAAACACAACUAGUGGAAAAUGUUAAAGGCCAGCUGUCCGAAAUGUCAGUCGUCUAGGGGUUAGUCAUCCGAAACAAGUUUUAAUUUUGCUUUGGACAACAGGGUCACUACUUAAUAGUGAACCUCGCUCUCUUUCUCCAAGGCUACCAAACUCACUUUCACUCUUCUCUUCCCCUCUACUCUCGUUCUCACUUCACUACUAGAGCUCCUCCGCUAGAAACCGAGAACUAAAGUGUGCGUGGGUUUUCUGGAAUGCUUGUGUGAUGGAGAUGGAGGCAGGAGGUGGUGAUUUAUAAAAGGAAGGGGGGACAGGGCGGGCGCCCUCUGUAGGUGGGCGGGCGCCCCACUCAGGUGGUCUCCCUGGCUGCAGCUUCUCUAUUCCCUCCUUUGCUUAGUCUUUACGCCAAAAAAUGAUUCAUGGGUGGUGGUUGGACGGUGGAAGUUGUCUAGUGAGUGGAGAUAUGUUGGUGGAUCAAAUAAUGUGAUGAGAUAUAUGUGAGGUAUGGUGUAUGAUAUGUGGGACCCAAGGAGUGUGGGUCAUGCUUCUAGAAGGUUGCUAUAAUUAGAUAUAAUGUAGGAAAACCUAAGAAAAUUUGAAACUUAUUGAAAAUGAACAUGGAAAAAUAUUUUUGUGCUUCCAUAAUAAUUAAUAAAUAUGGAUUGUUACACACCAUAAAUAUUCUUUAUAUGGGGCUUUUGAUUAUUAUAAUAAUGCUAUGAAUGAAUGUGACUAAUGCAAGAAUUAAUUAUGCAAGAAUUUAAAUGAUGUGGAUAAAUACCGAUUUACCUCCCAGCGAGGGUUUGGGAUUUUUAGGUCCCCCAAGCUAGAGCUCUAAAUCUUUUAAUCUUCUGAAUUACCUUCCUCCAGAGAUGGUGUCUCUAGUGGUUCUUCUUCAUGAACUUCCUUCAUUGUAGAGUCUCUCUCUGGUCUGGGCUUGAAUGUGAAGUGUUCUUCUUGUCCGUUUAUGUUGAAUUUGAUUUCUCCCUUCCCGACAUCAAUGUGGGCAUUGGCAGUGCUCAGAAAUGGCCUUCCAAGGAUGAUGGACACUUUUGAGUCGGGACUCAUGUCUAGUACCACGAAGUCUACUGGCACAAGGAAAUGUCUGAUCUUGACUGGGAUGUUUUCAGCGAUGCCCAUCGGGUGUCAAACUAAUUGAUUUGCUAGUUGGAGGCACAUUGAUGUUGGUUCUAGGGUCGUAUGCUCAAGCUUCUUGUAGACUGAUGCUGGUAUCACACUGACACUUGCUCCGAGAUCACAAAGUGCAUUGCUGAAGUGUUGGUUUCUGAUCGAGCAAUCAAUGGUGGGACAUCUUGGAUCCUUCUUCUUCCUUGGUGGUUUGUUGAGGAUGGCCGCACUGCAUUCUUCUGUCAGCUUGAUAACCUCAGUGGUGGGCAGUGGUCUCUUCUUGUUAAGAAUAUCUCUGAUGUACUUUGCAUAUGUGGGUACCUAUAUGGCAUCAAGCAGAGGUAUGUUGACAUAUAAUUUCUGAAUGACCUCUACAAACUUACCAAAGUGCUCAUCCGACUGCAGUCCUCUGUUUCUUCUGGGAAAUGGCAAAUAGUUGGUGUCAUAAAAAUCUUUCCUCAUUUCUCCAGCUCUUGGUGGUUGUAGCAGAUCUUCUGCUUCAACUGGGCUUUCUUCUUCUAUCACUGCUGGUUGCACUAGUGCUGUUGUUCUCUAUUUCUCUUUUGGGUAUGGGGGAUCCCUGGUGGCUUUGCUUCCUCUAGUAGUUAUGUUCUUUACCUACUCAAUGUUAGUGGCAACAGGCAAUGUAGCAGCUAGCUUUAUUAAUUUAAGCUCUACCCUUUUAUUAAGAGUGUUUUGCUCAUCAAAGGCAGUUAAUAGAAAAUCCAUUUUAUUGUGUAUAUCUUUUAGAGAUGAUUCAUUUGUAUCUAGCCUUUGUUUAACUUGGUCAUUAGUUUUGGUUUGUUGAGCAAUUAUCUCUUUUAAUGAAAGUUGCUUGAAAGUGUUACCUGAAUUCAUACCUUUGCUAUUGGGUUGACUCGAAGUAGGUUGAUAUUUGUAUGUUGUCUCAAUGGCCCUUUGAUCUUCUUUGAACUUGGCCCUCCGGUCAAUCCAAUGGAGCAAAUUUUCCACCUUGGUUGAUAGUGUAUUUACUUCUUCGGGUAUUUCUUCAGUUUGAUGACAAUGUUGAGCUUUAUCUUGGACCCAGCUUUGGUUUUCUGAUACCUUAUCCAAAAGUAUCUCUGCUUUUCCAAUUGUAAGCUCCAAAAAUGAUGCUUUAGCAGAUGCAUCUAGGCACUCACAAGCCUUUUGGGUUAAUCCAUGGUAGAAUGUCUGCAUAAGUAACCAUUUGGCCAUUCCAUGGUGAGGGCAAUCUGAUAUGGUUUCUGUCUUCUGCUGUUGGAAACUGACAAUAUUUCCUCUUAAGGCAGUUGUUUUACCUAUAGGGAAAAACUUUGAUAGAAAGACAUCUGACAAGUUCGUCCAGUUGUUAAUGUUAUCUUGAUGGGUGUAGAACCACUUCCUUGCCUUCCCUUCUAGUGAGAAUGGAAAAAGGCGAAGCAGUAUGAUGUUUUUGUCGACUCCGUUGAUGCGGAUUGUGCUUCCAAUCUCUAAGAAAUUCUGCAAGUGUGCACUAGCAUCUUCACGUGCCUUUCCACUGAAUUGUGUAGCUUGCACCAAAUUGAUGAGGCUUGACUUGAGCUCGAACUCAGGUGCUCCUUCUUCUACUUCAAAUCUUGGACCAGUUGGAAUGUUCUCAAGACUUGGAGCAGAAAAUUCUUGCAAGGUCUUUUGUGCCAUAGCUUCAGCAAUUGGUAGCUAGCUUCUUCUUUCUUUCUUGAUCGCUUUGGUUCUGAUGAUGAAGAGUUGAAUGUACCAAAGUCAAUCCUGAUAUACCCUGUAUAAAAAAUAUAAACAUAGAAAAACAACAGGGUAAACGUGCCAAAGUAGAGGUGCCUUGUUAUGAUUUCUCAUUUAGUAGCUGUUUAUGCAAUUAUUUCUCCAUAGUCUAGUCUAAUAUAUUUAUGUGAAUAACCUUGACUGAUUUCCUGACUUUCCCUAUCGACUCCCCGGCAACGGCACCAGAAAUGCUUGUUGACACUUGCUAACACCACUUGAAUACUAGGUUGUCAUCCCAGCAUGACACUAGAGUGUACUAAGGUAUUUAUGAAUACGAAAGCUCUCUAGAAAAUAAUCUAUUCUAUCUGCAAGCGCACAGAUAAAAUACCUCAUUGUAGCAUUUCACCAGAAAAAGUAUUCCGGGUAUUGCUAUUUAUAUUUUGCUUAAGAGAACGAUGAAAGUGAAAACAGGGGUAAAAUCUAUCAAGGCAUAUACUAGAGAUAAACUUGCAAGAACAUGAUUACUAAUGAGGAACUCGUCACACAGUCACUUGCUUUGGCAGGGGGUAAGCCAUAAUAAUAAUAAAGAUAACGAAAUAUAAGCUCAUGAGUAAAUAACACAGCAACUAGAAAUAGACUACUCCUCAUAUAUGUAAGGUGACGUCGGAUUAGCUAGAGAAUGGAUUCUGAGUAACUACUAUCUACUAAGUCACAAUCUACUCUACUUAUCUACAAGAUCAUAUAUAGCACAAAAGACUCUUUAUUCAUGUAUAAGGAACAUUGCUAAAGUAAAUCAGAACAUAGCAAAACUUACUCUGCAAUACAAAUUCUGCCUGUCCUAUCAACGGAGGGUGGACUAUAUAAGAAUCAACGAAGCUGUCACCAUCGCGAACUACCACACGACCCGGCCAAUAGGAUACAUUUGCAGGUAAAUAAUAUCUAAGCACCAUGCCUAUUGACGGUCCUUCAGUAUCAAAUAUAAUCAACAAAUAAACAAAGAAAAGGAUCUAAAUGCAACUGACAUCCAGACUUAGGGUUUUAUCUGACAGAAUUCCACGAGUUUUGGUGUUUGUCUGUUUCUGCAGGGGGUUAUCAGGAAAUAUGGAGGAAAUGCCCACACGUCGGGUUUACAUAGAGAUAUUAACAUGCACCGCAAUUAUCCAACAUCUAGAAGAGUCCAGAAGCCAUGGGAACGAGCGGGAGACCGAGCGGACUCGGGGGCAGGGCGCCCGCCCUGGCCAGGCAACCAAUCACGUUCAACUUCGCGGAUCAUGCUCGACCGACCUAAGGGAUCAAGGAAAACCGUGCGAUUAAUGUCGGUUUCAUCCGACGGCCCACAUUCAUUUGGAAGGACUAUAUAAGCAGACCCCCAGGCCCCUGGAGGAGGGGACCUCUAUCUCUCUGAAACCCUAAUUCAUUUAUCCAUCUCGGGAGAAGAAGCCUCUGAUCAAGCCCUAGAGCCACCACAUCAAUAGAUCUCUAGUUUAGCAUAGCUACAUAGGAUUAGAACUAGAAGGAGUCAAUCUUCGAUUGGUUUCCAGAUCUGUCAAGAGGAUUCUUGGUAAUUCCUCCACUGUUCUUCAUUUGUUCAUAAUUGUUUUUCAAUAUUAUGAAUAUGACUUUGCUCUACUUCAAUAUAUUGAUUAUGACUUUGCUCUACUUGUUUAUAUUGGCAAUUAUAUUAUUCUUAGUUUAUCAUAGUUAUAUGCUUGGCUUAGUUAGAUUGGAAUUAUAUACAUGUUUAGGAUCGUAUAGCGUUUAUCCAUGUGUACAGUGGGUAAAUGAUAAGUAUUGUGUAGGCGUGGUGCCUAUACCAUAUUUAUCUGCGAUUGUACCCUAUAUGCCGGAUCACGGGCUAGUUCGUGGUAGUGACAGCUCUAUUGAUUUUUAUAUAGUCCCCGUCUCGUGUAUAGGGCAGGCAGAGUAACAUUAUUACAGGGGAGUGAUUGCUAUGUUUCUCAUCUUCCUUGAUAAUAUCACUAUGCAUGGGCGUAGUCCUGUCUCGCAAUGAUUGCCAAAUAUAAUUGCACUAACUAUGAUAUGCUAGACUUUAUAGUUAAGAAUAACUUAGGAAAUAUUCUUGUAGUUCAUCCUAAUUCCAUGCUAAUGACUUGCUAGAAUAUCUAUUGAGGUGCUUAUCAUUAUUAUAUGUGGCUAGUUAUGCUGAUCAGAUUAAUUAUCUUUGUCACCAUUCAUACUUUAUCUAUCUUUUACGUGACAUUUAUUCCUGUAUGAAAGAGAUAGAUAAAUGAUCUCAAUUAUACAUGUAAUGAUAGAUACUCAGUUCUAUAUUCCAUUCCAUGAUCAACAUUGAUGAUUAGCAAUCCCUUCCCAGUGGUAAAAAUAUAAAUAACGAUACCUGGAAUACUUCUCGGUUAAAAUGCUACAUCGGUAUUAAUCUGUGCGCUUGCAGAUCUCAUUUAUUAUUUAUUCAGAAGAGCAAUUGCAUAUUUCAAUACCGCGUCUCUCAUAUCAUGAUGGGGAUGACAUUAAGAAUGCCCAACAAGCAUUUUUAGCGCCGUUGCCGGGGAAGGUUGAUUACUAAUCAGGAAUGAAUAUGGAAUUUUAAUUCAUCAUUCGCAUCACUAAUAUGAUUGAGCUUAUCAAUUCUCUCAUACAGUUUUAUCCUGAUAUUUUUUCUAUUUUAUUUUUAUGCAGGGUAAUGUAUGAAUAGAAGACAUCUUCUAGGAAAUUUUGUUGACAAUCCCGAAGCGUUAUUCAGAAAAACAAGAGCCAAGCUCAAGAAGAAAUCAUCAACACUUCAGCAAGAAGCUUCUUCCAAUCAAGAAGAUCACCGGAACUUGUCUUCAGAAUUCGAAGCCAUGGUGAACAAAAUGAUCCGCGAGUUCUCAGCUCCCACUACGGACAACAUCCGUACUGGACCUGCUGCAGAGAUCGAUGGCGACUUUGAGCUCAAGCCUGGACUUAUCAACAUGGUGCAAUCCAACCAGUUCUGUGGGAAGGCACAUGAAGAUGCUAGUGCUCAUCUCCAACACUUUCUAGAGAUUUGCAGCACAUUUACCAUAUCAGGAGUCCCCAGAGAUGCUAUACUACUUCGCCUCUUCCCAUUCUCACUGUUAGGGAGAGUGAAGCAGUGGUUCUACGCUACAAAAGAGAAGAAUACUAUGAAUUUUCUGGCUAAGUUCUUUCCCAUGGGCAAGACCAAUGCUCUCCGUGGAAAAAUUACAAGUUUUCAGCAACAACAUGACGAAUCCGUUCCAGAAGCAUGGGAGCGCUUCCAAGACUACAUCCUAGAAUGUCCCUAUCAUGGAAUGGAGAGCUAGCUACUGAUGGAGAUGUUUUAUCAUGGGCUCGGCAACAGUGCCGGAGAAACCAUGGAUGCUGCAGCUGGAGGAGCAUUCUUAUCACUCACCAUACCACAAGCCACAACUCUUGUGGAGAAGAUGGCGUCCAACCAAGGCUGGAAUGAAGAGAGGACCCAGACACGCAAAAAAGGUGGAGGUAUGCAUCAGCUCAAGGAGGUAGACAUGCUGUGUGCAAAGCUAGACCUGCUCAUGAAGAAGCUCGACGAUAAAGCUAGAGAUAAGAAAGAAGUUAUGCACAUCUGCGACUCUCACAUGACUUGUGAGGAGUGUGGAGAUACUGGACACUCAGGAGAUCAGUUCCCUGAGAUGCUUGAGGAUGUGAACUACAUCAACAACAACAACUACAACCGUCCUCAACAAAAUCAAGGUUGGAAUCAACAGACGCCUAACUACUCUGGUAAUUAACAAGACAUGUUUGAUGCAGGUAACUACUGGAGUAACCCCGUCACUGAAGUUAAUACUGACCAGGACGCCCCGUCAUCCCGAUCUCCGUCGUCAUGGUGGACUCCCAGAAGCACUCUGUGACUUUGGCUCCAGCGUCAACAUUAUGCCCAGGUUUGCAGAUCAGGCGUUAAGUUUCCCAAAGGGAAUAUUGAGGAACCUCUGCGUCCGAGUUGGUACAUUGUAUGGCCCAGCAAACUUCGUAGUGAUAGAGACCGGUAAUGAUGAUAGGGCACCCAUCAUCUUAGGGAGGCCAUUCUUAGACACAUCAGGAGCUGUCAUCUACGCUAGUGCUACCAAGAUCAGUUUCUACAUCAAAGGGAGAAAGGAGACGUUUUCCUUCAAGAAGAAGACUGCGUAAAUCUCAGAGCAAUCUUGACAUGAACCAUGGAAGAGGACCAACAGGAGGAACAGGAACAAGCAAGUGUGGACCGAGUUAGCUAAGAUGGUCACUGAAGUUCAUGGAGGACAAGAUCAUCAACUUAAGUCACUGUUUCUGACCAAGAAGGACGACCCAGGAAUGCCAAGCAUCUAUUGCUCCAAAAAUGGAUACAACUUCUACAAGACGUUUUGCGACACCGGAUCGGGCAUCAACAUAAUGGCCGCAGUCACCUAUCGGCUCUUGUUCGGAACCAUGCCCUUAAAACCAACAUACAUUCAGCUCUAGAUGGCAGAUCAGACAUUUCGAGAGGUUAAUGGUAUAAUAACUGAUGUCCCUGUCAAAAUAGACGAUCAUUUUGUCUACACAGACUUUCAGGUUAUUGACAUGGGUGGAAGACGAGUAUGAUUCACCCGUCAUCCUUGGAAGACCAUUCCUCAGCACCGUUAAAGUAAUUAUCUACAUUGGAACAGGAGAAGUCCAUAUGCACUUCCCCUCAUAGAAGGUACGCCGCUAUUUUACUGACCCUAAUUAUAUCGUUGAAGACUCUAAGCAGGUUAGUACAAGAAGAAGACGACGCAACCGCAACCAGAGGAGGCAAAUCAUCAAGGACGGAUGGGCAGACUAUGAAGGAAAAGUUAUAAGGUCUGAAGACAUACAGCUUGAACAAGAUUAUCCUGAGGAGACCGUAGCACCAAGUCAGGUGUGGAGAGAGAAGAUAACUAUACACGAAGAGAAGGCGCCACUGGAAGCACCGACUACGCCACCGAACGAACCCCAGGACAACUGAGAAAAUGGAGAGUCCCGUUCAAAGGACUUAAAAACACCGAACGCCUUGCCAAGAGGUAAACUUGGUAGUUAUCCUUUUCCUUUUCAGUUAUUUGAAAUAGUUUACUUAGUUAAUCAUGUUCAUACUAUCCUAAAAAGAAAAUAAAAAUGUUAAAAAUGGUAAGCCCCAUGUGAGUAUACGAGUGGCAUAAAAUCCAUAAGUACAUUCACUGUGGUGGCAUAAAAAUAAAAUAAAUAUUUCUUUUCUGCUUAUAAAAAUGAAAAUAUAAAAAUAGAGAGUAACAUUUAUUGAGGAGGCUCAACAUGAUAAAGGCUAGAUAUUUAUGCUAACACUUAAUUAGUUCCACAAAGCUUUGUUGUCUAUUCGAGCUCCACAGAAUUUAAGAAUUCAGAAGACUAGCAGACGGAGGACAUUCUAAUCGUUGUCAGGAUACUGCCGACUUUCAAAUACACCUUUGCCACCUUCCAACUACAUCAGAAGAAAUUAAGUCCAAAUUCAGCUUAGGGGAGAGCACCCGCAUUUAUCUCGCUAAGUAUUUCUAUCUAUCUUUAUACUUAUACUAUAUUAAAAUAUAAAUAUACAGAACUAUGGAAAACCAAAUAAAGAUUUUAUGCUUAUAUAUAUAUAUAUAUAUGUCUUUUGCUUAGUGUGUUUAAUAAAUAAAUAAAGUGGCUAUGCUAAAUUGAAUCAUAAUAAUAAAACUCUAGCAUGGAUGUGAUGAGUAGUUGCUCUGCCUAAUUUUCAAAUUUGAGUUUUCUCUCAAGUUUAGACAUAACUGUUAUAAUUUAAAGCUUGCUCUAAAUCUGAACUUGUGGGAAGAAAACUUGAUCUGAAGUCUAAGUUGUUAACGGAUAUGAUAUGGGAAGGUUGAGCUGCUGUUUAUCUGUUCCUUGAGAUGCUAGAAUUCUGGAGAAUUUUAUCUUUUAAAUCUUUAGAAUAUCACAUGAUGAGUUCCGGUAUGAUGAGAGUUUAAAUUCCUACCACAGCCACAUAUUUACAUGCUUGCUAGACUCUGAGCCACACAUUUACUUUUUUACUGCUUAUGAGCAUUGAGUGUGGUCAAGCUGUGUAGAGCCUUAGGAGCUUGUCAUGUGGUUAAAUCAAGAUUCACUUGCACGUUCAUUCACACAUGCUGCUUUCUACUCCGGAAGUACGCAUCCACAUAUAUCCACCCAUUUCCAUCUCCAGAACCACCCAAAAAUAUUCUACGCCUAAUCCGGGAGGGAAUAGCCAAAAACAUUUCUGUUUUCUCCUAUGAAAUAAAUGCUCAAGUUAUCUUGGUUACUACCACUUGCUACAUUAUCUCAUGAGAUGAGUGCUCUAAAAAAAGAGAUACGAGGAAAUAAAAAGGGGCAAGUGCCCAGAACCUCGAAAGAAAAGAAAAAGUGAGACGAGAGGUAAAAAUAGACAAGUGUCUGACAGUAGAAUUAGGGGUACAAAAUACCCACCUGAGAGGAAAGAAAAAGAAAAUAUAGAGCAUCUCAUUCUCCUCAAAAAGUUUCAAAAGAGCAAGAAAGGUAUGUAUCCCCUCAAAAGAGCAAAAGUAGAAUUAGACUUUCACCAUUACCAUACACCAUUCAUUCGCCACACAUACACAUCUUGAUUUGACUUAUUGGCUUGUUUCUUUGGAUCCAUGGUUUGACUAUGCAAUAAAUGUCUUGUAAGUAUGUAUACUUUAUCUCCCAC